RNAcentral lists this ribosomal RNA (253 nucleotides) under uncultured bacterium. RNAcentral's name for it is "partial 16S ribosomal RNA". It matches the Rfam family "Bacterial small subunit ribosomal RNA", at positions 524 to 776 of the family's 1533-position model. The record is from RNAcentral.
UACAGAGACUGCGAGCGUUAUUCGGAUUCACUGGGCGUAAAGGGUGCGCAGGCGGCCAAGUGUGUGAGGCGUGAAAGCCCGGGGCUUAACCCCGGAAUUGCACCUCAAACUACAUGGCUAGAGCAUUGGAGAGGGAAGCGGAAUUCACGGUGUAGCGGUGAAAUGCGCAGAUAUCAGGAGGAACACCGGUGGCGAAGGCGGGUCUCUGGGCCGUAACUGACGCUGAGGAGCGAAAGCGUGGGGAGCAAACAGG